RNAcentral lists this ribosomal RNA (504 nucleotides) under uncultured bacterium. RNAcentral describes it as "partial 16S ribosomal RNA". It matches the Rfam family "Bacterial small subunit ribosomal RNA", at positions 30 to 523 of the family's 1533-position model. The record is from RNAcentral.
AUUGAACGCUGGCGGCAGGCCUAACACAUGCAAGUCGAACGGUAGCACAGAGAGCUUGCUCUCGGGUGACGAGUGGCGGACGGGUGAGUAACGUCUGGGAAACUGCCCGAUGGAGGGGGAUAACUACUGGAAACGGUAGCUAGUACCGCAUAACGUCGCAAGACCAAAGUGGGGGACCUUCGGGCCUCACACCAUCGGAUGUGCCCAGAUGGGAUUAGCUAGUAGGUGGGGUAAUGGCUCACCUAGGCGACGAUCCCUAGCUGGUCUGAGAGGAUGACCAGCCACACUGGGACUGAGACACGGUCCAGACUCCUACGGGAGGCAGCAGUGGGGAAUAUUGCACAAUGGGCGCAAGCCUGAUGCAGCCAUGCCGCGUGUAUGAAGAAGGCCUUCGGGUUGUAAAGUACUUUCAGCGGGGAGGAAGGCGGUGAAGUUAAUAACUUCACCGAUUGACGUUACCCGCAGAAGAAGCACCGGCUAACUCCGUGCCAGCCGCCGCCGUAA